Molecule: long non-coding RNA, 203 nt
Filed under: Elaeis guineensis (African oil palm)
Lineage: Eukaryota; Viridiplantae; Streptophyta; Magnoliopsida; Arecales; Arecaceae
Description: long non-coding RNA (EGUI_LNC012817)
Source: RNAcentral
GGCCGGACAAUGGAUAUUCGACUUACCAUCAUUAUCCUAUUCGAAUACGUCGGACAGUACUCAACUAUCAGACUCUACGGAAUGAUCGUGUCGACAUGCUAUGCCCGACCAAGGGUCGGACAACAGAUAUUCGACUUGUCAUCGUUAUCCUAUCUGAAUACAUCGGACACUACUCAACUAUCAGAUUCUACGGAAUGAUCGUG